GAGGGUAUAGCUCAAGUGGUAGAGCACAUGCAUUACCAUGCAUGAGGUCCUGGGUUUAAUCCCCAGUACCUCCU
This 74-nucleotide transfer RNA is filed under the name Camelus bactrianus (Bactrian camel). It matches the Rfam family "tRNA". From Rfam's summary of the family: Transfer RNA (tRNA) molecules are approximately 80 nucleotides in length. Their secondary structure includes four short double-helical elements and three loops (D, anti-codon, and T loops). The record is from Rfam by way of RNAcentral. RNAcentral also lists the same sequence under 2 other names. Lineage: Eukaryota; Metazoa; Chordata; Mammalia; Artiodactyla; Camelidae.